Molecule: transfer RNA, 62 nt
Filed under: Dicrocoelium dendriticum
Lineage: Eukaryota; Metazoa; Platyhelminthes; Trematoda; Plagiorchiida; Dicrocoeliidae
Description: tRNA-Pro
Source: RNAcentral
AGUUUGAUAGUCUAAAUUAGGAUGCGAGUUUUGGGGAUUUGUGGUCUCUGGGGAGUCAAUUG